This 375-nucleotide ribosomal RNA is filed under the name uncultured organism. RNAcentral's name for it is "partial 16S ribosomal RNA". It matches the Rfam family "Bacterial small subunit ribosomal RNA", at positions 527 to 896 of the family's 1533-position model. The record is from RNAcentral.
GUAGGGGCCAAACGUUUGUCCGGAUUUAUUGGGCGUAAAGGGCUCGUAGGCGGUUCAACAAGUCGGUCGUGAAAUGCCGGGGCUCAACCCCGGAACGCCGGUCGAAACUGUUGUGACUAGGGUCCGGUAGAGGUGAGUGGAAUUCUCGGUGUAGCGGUGGAAUGCGCAGAUAUCGAGAGGAACACCAGUUGCGAAGGCGGCUCACUGGGCCGGUACCGACGCUAAGGAGCGAAAGCAUGGGGAGCAAACAGGAUUAGAUACCCUGGUAGUCCAUGCCGUAAACUGUGAACACUAGGUGUGGCGGAUCUAUUGAUGUCUGCCGUACCGUAGCUAACGCGUUAAGUGUUCCGCCUGGGGAGUACGGCCGCAAGGCUA